CUGCCGGUGCCCUGCCCACUGUUUUGUUCUGCUGCCAUGAUGUACUGCUAAUUUAGCUACCACUGCUACUUCUGCUAUGUAGCAUUUUAAUAAACAAGCUAACUAUCCAAGUCUGAUCAUGUCGCCUCAGGACACUUUGUGGAGGAAUGAUCUGUUGAUAUGAUCACCUGUUGGCCUCAAGCACACCCAGAAGACAGAGUUACCAGUGGCCAUGUUUGCAGAUUAGAUUCUUCCCAAAGGAAUUACUCUCUGGCUGAAACUUCUUCACUGCAUCAAGAUUCGGAGUUAAUUGUCAAGCAACACCAGCAAACUUUCUCCACAGUCAUCUCAGCCGCUGUGGCUCAUCACUUUGCAGUCAGAAUCAGCUGUUUGAGAAAGACCUUGGCGUCAGAGACAAAAGGAGUCUGUGCUGCCAUUCACUCAGAUGGAUGAGACUUGAAUGAAGCUGAAAAUGAGUGAAGCCUGGAGUCUAAAUCUGUAAUACGUACUUUGUGCAGCUCAUUGAUGAGGUGCAGCAAUGAAAUGCUUCCUCUAUAAUGUGUCUGACAGCGCUGCCUGUUUGUGAUAUCCAGAGCCAGGAGUUUUCCCAAUUGAAAAACUUUCCAGUCCCAAUUAAAGUCUCAAGUGACUUUGGGGAUCUACAGCCUUUCCUUUUCAAGGUCCUCUGGGCGCUGGUUUGAUUUUGAGUAGUUCAACAUCAGUUUUUAUCGAAUUGAGAAAGCACUUUGUUAGCUGUGUCCAAGCAAGAGCCCUCUUCACUAAUGUGUUUUGUGGUAAGAGGCACUCUACCAAGAUGGUGCAUUGUGUGUGUGUGUGUAGUUGUUUUGGUCAGUAUUUGUGUGAUUUUUAUUUAUUUAUUUAUUUUUUCUACGUCUGUGUGGAGUUUCAGGCUGUGUAACAGAGGCAGGACAUUAGAGAGCAGCCAAGAGGCCUGGGUUUUCCUGGCACACAAUAGCAGGAAGUGCUGCCACACUAUAAAUGGAAGCUGGAAUAGUGGCAAAACUCAGUCAGCAAGACAUUUCUGCCACCAGCCAAUAGGAUUUAUGUGCUUGCUUGACUCUUUUUCCAACUUACAAACUGUGAUAAUGAAACUAAAUAGAAAAGAGUACCAGGAAAGUUGUAUAUUCAGGCCAGGCUGAGUAAUUCUUCAACCCAUUUGAAAGCUGAUACUGACAGUGAUAGUUUAAGAUUAAAGGUGCCAAAGUGUAUAUGUGCCCAAAUUCUUUAUAAUUGUGACCACUUUCUGCCAUUAACUUUAAAAAAUUUUUUUUUUUACUGGGAUUCAUUGUUUCAUCCAGAAUUGUAUUCUUGGGAAAGUGGAAAUGGAUGGAAACUCUGAAACCCGAACUAAUGAAAUUGUUCUGGGUGGGCUAACAACUUCUAAAGGCAGGGCUUCAUUGUCUGCCGUACAAACGAGAAAACUGGCAAUUACAGUAACAAUACAAAAUAUUGAAUUUACUAUAAUGUGAGAUCAAAAAUCAGCAAAUUAAUCGGGUUAGUCAAAUGUUUGGCCCAAUCCCAAUGUCCCCCCUAAGUC
Molecule: long non-coding RNA, 1537 nt
Organism: Micropterus dolomieu (smallmouth bass)
Lineage: Eukaryota; Metazoa; Chordata; Actinopteri; Centrarchiformes; Centrarchidae
Exons: 3
Source: RefSeq, a predicted model, not a curated record